Non-coding RNA from Oryza punctata, 169 nucleotides. Lineage: Eukaryota; Viridiplantae; Streptophyta; Magnoliopsida; Poales; Poaceae. The record is from Rfam.
UUUAAGCGUAGUCAUGAGUUUACAUAUCUAGCUUUGAUCGUCCAUUUUAUUUAAAAUUUUUUGAUAAACCAUGAAUAAUAACGCGUGACGGUUUUUCAAUUUUUUUAAAAUAUUUUCAAAUAAGAUGGAUGAUUAAAGUUGGAUAUGAAAACUUAUGGCUGCGUUUAAA